GCCUCCUACCAGUAUAGUGGUUAAUGAUGCUGAAUGCGUUGUCAAAAGGCCUGGGUUCAAAUCCCAGAGAAGGCA
This is a non-coding RNA of Trichonephila clavipes, 75 nucleotides long. NCBI's taxonomy places the organism in Eukaryota, Metazoa, Arthropoda, Arachnida, Araneae, Nephilidae. The record is from the annotation of a GenBank genome assembly.